Long non-coding RNA from Oreochromis niloticus (Nile tilapia), 170 nucleotides. RefSeq lists it as uncharacterized. The record is from RefSeq and is a predicted model, not a curated record. The transcript has 2 exons. Lineage: Eukaryota; Metazoa; Chordata; Actinopteri; Cichliformes; Cichlidae.
UCUCUUGCGAGUCAGACGCGGAUGGAGUCGGGAAGAAAUCAGCCUGGCGGGGAGACAUUCCCAAUGUUUACUGAGGCAGUGAAACGUGAUAGGAAAUGACUUUAAUCUGCACCUUUGAUAAACGCUGCUGCUGCUGCAGUCUAAGGAGCUUGGAAAGAAAACCGUCUGGA